This 517-nucleotide ribosomal RNA is filed under the name uncultured freshwater bacterium. Its description in RNAcentral is "bacterial SSU rRNA". It matches the Rfam family "Bacterial small subunit ribosomal RNA", at positions 8 to 571 of the family's 1533-position model. The record is from RNAcentral.
AGAGUUUGAUCCUGGCUCAGAACGAACGCUGGCGGCAUGCCUAACACAUGCAAGUCGAACGAGACCUUCGGGUCUAGUGGCGCACGGGUGCGUAACGCGUGGGAAUCUGCCCUUUGCUUCGGAAUAACAGUUAGAAAUGACUGCUAAUACCGGAUGAUGUCUUCGGACCAAAGAUUUAUCGGCAAAGGAUGAGCCCGCGUAGGAUUAGGUAGUUGGUGGGGUAAAGGCCUACCAAGCCGACGAUCCUUAGCUGGUCUGAGAGGAUGAUCAGCCACACUGGGACUGAGACACGGCCCAGACUCCUACGGGAGGCAGCAGUGGGGAAUAUUGGACAAUGGGCGAAAGCCUGAUCCAGCAAUGCCGCGUGAGUGAUGAAGGCCUUCGGGUCGUAAAGCUCUUUUACCAGGGAUGAUAAUGACAGUACCUGGAGAAUAAGCUCCGGCUAACUCCGUGCCAGCAGCCGCGGUAAUACGGAGGGAGCUAGCGUUGUUCGGAAUUACUGGGCGUAAAGAGUACG